RNAcentral lists this ribosomal RNA (446 nucleotides) under uncultured bacterium. RNAcentral's name for it is "partial 16S ribosomal RNA". It matches the Rfam family "Bacterial small subunit ribosomal RNA", at positions 331 to 794 of the family's 1533-position model. The record is from RNAcentral.
CCAGACUCCUACGGGAGGCAGCAGUGGGGAAUAUUGCACAAUGGGGGAAACCCUGAUGCAGCGACGCCGCGUGAGUGAAGAAGUAUUUCGGUAUGUAAAGCUCUAUCAGCAGGGAAGAAAAUGACGGUACCUGACUAAGAAGCCCCGGCUAACUACGUGCCAGCAGCCGCGGUAAUACGUAGGGAGCAAGCGUUAUCCGGAAUUAUUGGGUGUAAAGGGUGCGUAGACGGGAUAACGAGUUGGUUGUGAAACCCCUCGGCUCAACUGGGGAACUGCAACCAAAACUAUUAUUCUUGAGUGCAGGAGAGGAAAGUGGAAUUCCUAGUGUAGCGGUGAAAUGCGUAGAUAUUAGGAAGAACACCGGUGGCGAAGGCGACUUUCUGGACUGUAACUGACGUUGAGGCACGAAAGCGUGGGUAUCGAACAGGAUUAGAUACCCGAGUAUU